Long non-coding RNA from Sapajus apella (tufted capuchin), 2334 nucleotides. RefSeq lists it as uncharacterized. NCBI's taxonomy places the organism in Eukaryota, Metazoa, Chordata, Mammalia, Primates, Cebidae. The record is from RefSeq and is a predicted model, not a curated record. The transcript is spliced from 3 exons.
CUGCCAGGCUGGUCUCCAACUCCUGGCCUCAAGUGAUUCACCCACCUCAGCCUCCCACAGUGCUAGGGUUACAGGUGUGAGCCACCGUGCCCAGCCUAUUCUUUCUGUUAAAUGGUAAUGUUGCAUUCAUUGGCAAACCUGUUCUCAUCUCUUCUGCUCCACAUCCUUUCAGCCUGUGGGUAACCACCAUUUUGCUCUACUUCCAUGAAGUUAGGUUUAAAUUUCACAUAAAAAGGAUAUCAUGUGACGUUUGUCUUUCUAUGCUUUGCAUAUUUUACUUAACAUAAUGUCCUCCAGGUACAUCCAUGUUGCUGCACAGAUUAUUAUUCUGUUUUAGAAAAAAUAGUGUGGAGAGUCUUCCAAAAAUUAAAAAUAGAACUACUCUAUGAUUCAGCAAUUUCAAUACUUGGUAUAUAUCAAAAGGAAAUAAAAUCAGUAUGUCAAACUCCCAUGUUUAUUGCAUCACUAAUUAUAAUAGCCAGACUAUUACUUCACUUAAGAAUUAUUUUCAUCUCUUUUUGAUACAUUACAUUUCUAAACUUUUAAAGGAUUUAUGUCUGGUUUUCAGUUUUAGAAACUAUUUAAUCACCAAUUUUUUAAAUAUUGCCUUUCAUUUUUUAUAUAGUCUAGUAAAGCAAUUAGGUGUUCUUCUCAAUCCAGUCUUCAUAUAUGUAUAAAUAUAUUUCAUUCUCUAUUAACUUGCCUGCUAUAAAAUAUGUAACUACAUCAAUUUUGCUUAGUAUUCUACCUUAUUGGCCUGUCGUCAGCUCAGUGUAUUUUAGUAUGCACCCCAUAUUUUGCACAUUACAUUGUUUCACCACAUUUGUAAUAGCUUACUUUCAAUUUGCUUUUUUUCCAGAUAUGAUUUGAGAAGCAUAGUUUUUUUGUUGUUGUUUGCCCAUUACUUUGGUUUUCUGUUUUUUCAUUGUAAUGACAAAUAUUUUAACAUAAGCCAAAUAUCUGAUAUUUAUGUAUCAUAUAAUUUCUUUUGACCCUUCAUCUUGGUAGUUUAUCUAAUUCUGUGCAAUAUAAUGUAUACCUUAGUUUUCACAUAUAGAAAAUACCAUAUUUGGAAUGUCUCCAGUCUGUGUAUUUCUUUGCUGAUUCCAUUUGCCUUAUUGAAAGUUGAACAACCCACAUGAAUCUGACAUUCUUGUAAUUAGUCCUAUCUGAAGAGAGCAUGUGCUUCUUAGGUUGACUGUUCCUCUGGAUUAACCCUUUCAUUUACUUCUGGUCCUGGGAAUUUCUCAUAUUUUUCUUCAACUAUAUUUAGCAUAAUACAGAUUUUUUAACUUCUUGAUAAUUUUAAUUAUCUGUAUUAAAUGUUUAAAAAUAUAUAUUAUUUUCUUGCAAAGCAUAAAUAGGCAACAGUUGCAUACAUUAGUAAAAUAUGUCACAUAGAUUGUCUAUGACAUAAAACAUCAUCUCACCCGAAAUCUCAAGUUUCUUAGUGUAGAAGACCUCCAUCCCAAUACAUCUAUUGUAGUAAUUUGUGAAGUGUGAUUACUCUUUACUACUAUGUAUGUAUUAUAUAUGUAUUAUCCACAGAUUUCAGAAAUACUCCACUGCAAUGAAUAUAUAGCCAGAAUUACUGUUUUAUAUAAUAUAAAGCUAAUAUGGCUUAAAUUAUUUAUCUUAAUUCAGAUUUUUUUCUACAAUUACCAUUAUUUCUUAUUAGGACUUCCCUGAUAUCAAAAACAUAAGGUAGAUAUAGAUUUUUUAAAAUAAUCUGGAAGAUGUUGAAAAGGGUUCUAAAUAGAGUUUGCACGUGGCUAGAUAGUACUUGUUAAUUACCUUUAACUUUUUUUUUUUUUUAACAUUUAUUGAGUAUAAUUGGCAAACUAAAAGUGUAUAUAUUUUAGGAUGUAGAAUAUGAUGCUUUAAGACAUGUAUACAUUUUUAAUUACCUUGGUUAAACUAGUUAACAUAUUUAUCACAUUACAUAGUUACUUUAUAUGUAUGUGUGUGUGAGUGGGUAUGUGUGGUAAGAUUACUUGAGAUUUGAUUUUGAAAAAAUUUUAAGUAUACCGUAUUAUUAACUAAGUUUAGUCACCAAUCUGUAUGUUACAUUCCCAGCAUUUGUUUGUUUUAUAGGUGAAAGUAUGUAUCUUUUGACUGAUACCUUGUCAUUCCCUCCCACAUCCUAACCUGUAGUAAUUAUUAUUCUUCUGUUUCUAUGAGUCUAAUUUUUUAAAGAUUCCACAUAAAUACAAAAUCAUGCAGUACUUGUCUUUCUGUAUCUGGCUUAUUUCACUUAGCAUAAUGUCUUCAUGGUUCAUCAGUGUUGUUGAAAAUGGCAAAAUUUUCAUCUUUAUUAAAGAUCAAUUACAUAUA